This 495-nucleotide ribosomal RNA is filed under the name uncultured bacterium. RNAcentral's name for it is "partial 16S ribosomal RNA". It matches the Rfam family "Bacterial small subunit ribosomal RNA", at positions 28 to 507 of the family's 1533-position model. The record is from RNAcentral.
GACGAACGCUGGCGGCGUGCCUAAUACAUGCAAGUCGAACGCUGAAGGAUUAACUUGUUUCUCUGGAUGAGUUUCGAACUGGUGUGUAACGCGUCGGUAACCUGCCUCGUAACGAAGGAGAACUAUUGGAGACAAUAGCUAUUACCGCAUAAUAGUAGAUGUUGCAUAACAUUUGCUACAACAUUGCAUUUGUAUCAAUACUAUUAUCGCUUGCGUUGUAUUAGCUAGUUGGUGAGGUAGCGGCUCAACUAGGCGACGAUACAUAGCCGGCACGGGAGGGGGAGCGGCCACACUGAGAAGGGGACACGGCCCAGACUCCCACGGGAGGCAGCAGGAGGGAAGCUGCGGCAAUGGACGGAAGUCUGACCGAGCAACGCCGCGUGAGUGAAGAAGGUUUUCGGAUCGUAAAGCUCUGUUGUAAGAGAAGAACGAGUGUGAGAGUGGAAAGUUCACACUGUGACGGUAUCUGACCAGAAAGGGACGGCUAACUACGUG